Small nucleolar RNA from Sorex fumeus (smoky shrew), 132 nucleotides. RefSeq annotates it as U8 small nucleolar RNA. Lineage: Eukaryota; Metazoa; Chordata; Mammalia; Eulipotyphla; Soricidae. The transcript has a single exon. The record is from RefSeq and is a predicted model, not a curated record.
UCGUCAGGUUGAAUGAUUCUUACCUGUUCUUCUAUUAGGGGAGCAGAUAGAACAUGAUGAUUGGAGUCGUCAUGAUUAGUGAUUAAUGCCUGUGUGUUAGGGCUCACAACACCCUAAUUGCUCCUAUCUGGU